Molecule: non-coding RNA, 45 nt
Organism: Schistosoma margrebowiei
Lineage: Eukaryota; Metazoa; Platyhelminthes; Trematoda; Strigeidida; Schistosomatidae
Source: Rfam
AUCCAGCUGACGAGUCACAAAUAGGAUGAAACUCUUGUCCUGGAU